AUUGAACGCUGGCGGCAGGCCUAACACAUGCAAGUCGAGCGAGAAAGGCACUUCGGUGCUGAGUAUAGCGGCGGACGGGUGAGUAACGCGUGGGAAUCUGCCUAGUAGAGGGGGACAACCAGUGGAAACGCUGGCUAAUACCGCAUACGCCCUAGGGGGGAAAGCGGGGGAUCUUUUCGGAGACCUCGUGCUAUUAGAUGAGCCCGCGUUGGAUUAGCUAGUUGGUGGGGUAAAGGCCUACCAAGGCGACGAUCCAUAGCUGUUCUGAGAGGAUGAUCAGCCACACUGGGACUGAGACACGGCCCAG
This 307-nucleotide ribosomal RNA is filed under the name uncultured Teredinibacter sp. RNAcentral's name for it is "bacterial SSU rRNA". It matches the Rfam family "Bacterial small subunit ribosomal RNA", at positions 30 to 334 of the family's 1533-position model. The record is from RNAcentral. Lineage: Bacteria; Pseudomonadati; Pseudomonadota; Gammaproteobacteria; Cellvibrionales; Cellvibrionaceae.